Long non-coding RNA from Lates calcarifer (barramundi perch), 1434 nucleotides. RefSeq lists it as uncharacterized. The transcript is spliced from 3 exons. The record is from RefSeq and is a predicted model, not a curated record. Lineage: Eukaryota; Metazoa; Chordata; Actinopteri; Centropomidae.
GAACAACGCUCAUUCAGACAUGGGAGGAGUCCCUACUGACGUUAGUGAUCAUGUAUAGCUUUCAAAAUACUCCCAUUCAUCACAAAUGCAUUUAACUUCUGGUAAAUAUGCUCUAAUUAGGAGGCUGAGCAGACUUGAGGAGGAGAGGCUGUGAUGACUAACACAAUGUUUAGCCCACAGGUUCAUCCAUGCUGAAAUGCUGAUUUCCGCUGUCCUGCUAAAAAUAGCAUCCCGUCGUACACGCGGUGUGGAGAGAUGUAUGUGUCACAGCCGCCAGUGGUGGGGGCCGGGGUGGGGACUUACAGACUCUCACAUGUUCCCGCCAUGAGUUCCCCCAUGAGCCCAUCCCAGGAGACAGCAGUGGGCCAUUUGAUAACAAAUAUGGGCACUGGAAGCAUCCACUUACAUGCUCCACAGCUACUUUUUUUUUUUUCCUAUAGCUAGCCGUGCGUAGCCGUGACGCCACUGCAAUGUUUGCCAUUUGGAAACGCAUGACUGGAGCACUGAGAGAGCUGUCUGGGGCUUUGGCACCCCCACUCAGUCAAAACUCACAAACCCGGAGUUCAACUCUCCAGUGGUGCACAAUCUGAAGGGAUGUUGAAUCACGAUUGCGUGGACUGUGGAGCUUUGAGACGUCUGGUUUUUAGGCCUGGAUUAUAAUAUGGUGAUGAGAGGCUCUGAAGCAGAAGGCUGUGGCGACCGUGUCGGACUUCUCCCGGUCCUGCAACACCAACCCCUUGUCCUCGGUGAGGGCCAGGUAGUGACCCGUGGUCAGGUGCCGCAGUCGGAAAGGCUGGCCCCAGCGGAUGUGGCUCCCGCUCCAGCUGUCAAGACUACAGCAUCACAUCCUUCAAAGAGAGACAUGCGUGCCCUGAUAACUCACAGCUACACUGUCUAUCAGUGAUAUGGGUGACUGGGUCCAAAGAUAAAAGAAGUCGCUCACCCUCCCACCCCCGCUGACAGCUUGGAGUGUGUUUGAUCUGCCCCAGAAAAAUGUAAGACCUCUAAAAAGCGUGCUCCUUAUGUUGAAUUUCAAGGACAACACAGGGGGAGAAAAGCCAAAGCUGGAAAUUAAUAUCUAAUCCCGCCCCCAUAUUUGCCAUGCUCUGUUCUAAAAAUAGACACUGUGUAUGUGUGUGUGUGUGUAUGUGUGUGUAAAGUGUGUGUGUGUGUGUGUAAAUGUAUGUACAUCUCCUGGCACCUGGCUGAGUGUGUACAGGCCUUGCCCGCUGUUUUGACCCACUUCAAGCCCAGUGUGCCAUUUUUGUGCGGCCUACCUUAUCUGUGUUGGCACUAAGCAGCGAUACUGUGGAUAAAAAUAACACAGCCGCCAUUUUGGCUCCCCUGGGAGCCAAGUGUUACGCUGGUCACAGGCGUUUUUAUGAAGGGAGGUGGAAGCAGAGGCACCACAGGGUAACUCACAGGUCAGGUAGC